Molecule: ribosomal RNA, 113 nt
Organism: Apteryx haastii (Great spotted kiwi)
Lineage: Eukaryota; Metazoa; Chordata; Aves; Apterygiformes; Apterygidae
Source: Ensembl
AGUUACUGUAGUACUGUUUAAUUGCAUUCCUGAUUGAUUUCAGAUGUCAAGAAAGGUCAGGCCUAAUCAGUACUUAGAUGGGCAAACUCCCAAGAAACCUGAUACAGUGCAUG